GAUGAACGCUGGCGGCGUGCCUAAUACAUGCAAGUCGAGCGAACAGACGAGGAGCUUGCUCCUCUGACGUUAGCGGCGGACGGGUGAGUAACACGUGGAUAACCUACCUAUAAGACUGGGAUAACUUCGGGAAACCGGAGCUAAUACCGGAUAAUAUAUUGAACCGCAUGGUUCAAUAGUGAAAGACGGUUUUGCUGUCACUACUAGAUGGUUCCGCGCCGCAUUAGCUAGUUGGUAAGGUAACGGCUUACCAAGGCAACGAUGCGUAGCCGACCUGAGAGGGUGAUCGGCCACACUGGAACUGAGACACGGUCCAGACUCCUACGGGAGGCAGCAGUAGGGAAUCUUCCGCAAUGGGCGAAAGCCUGACGGAGCAACGCCGCGUGAGUGAUGAAGGUCUUCGGAUCGUAAAACUCUGUUAUUAGGGAAGAACAAAUGUGUAAGUAACUAUGCACGUCUUGACGGUACCUAAUCAGAAAGCCACGGCUAACUACGUG
RNAcentral lists this ribosomal RNA (497 nucleotides) under uncultured bacterium. RNAcentral's name for it is "partial 16S ribosomal RNA". It matches the Rfam family "Bacterial small subunit ribosomal RNA", at positions 28 to 507 of the family's 1533-position model. The record is from RNAcentral.